GGGGAGGUGGUUCAGUGGUAGAAUACAUACUUUGAAUGUGUGAAGUCCUGGGUAAGACUCCUGGCUCCUACU
This 72-nucleotide transfer RNA is filed under the name Erinaceus europaeus (western European hedgehog). It matches the Rfam family "tRNA". From Rfam's summary of the family: Transfer RNA (tRNA) molecules are approximately 80 nucleotides in length. Their secondary structure includes four short double-helical elements and three loops (D, anti-codon, and T loops). The record is from Rfam by way of RNAcentral. Lineage: Eukaryota; Metazoa; Chordata; Mammalia; Eulipotyphla; Erinaceidae.